This 387-nucleotide ribosomal RNA is filed under the name uncultured Methanosaeta sp. RNAcentral's name for it is "bacterial SSU rRNA". It matches the Rfam family "Archaeal small subunit ribosomal RNA", at positions 952 to 1338 of the family's 1478-position model. Lineage: Archaea; Methanobacteriati; Methanobacteriota; Methanomicrobia; Methanotrichales; Methanotrichaceae. The record is from RNAcentral.
GGUCAGGCUGAAGACUUACCCGAUUAGCUGAGAGGUGGUGCAUGGCCGUCGUCAGUUCGUACUGUGAAGCAUCCUGUUAAGUCAGGCAACGAGCGAGACCCACGUCCACAGUUGCCAGCAUACCCUCCGGGGUGAUGGGUACACUGUGGAGACCGCCGCCUGCUAAAGCGGAGGAAGGAGUGGGCAACGGUAGGUCAGUAUGCCCCGAAUCUCCCGGGCUACACGCGGGCUACAAUGGUUGGUACAAUGGGCAUCUACCCCGAAAGGGGAAGGAAAUCUCUUAAAGCCAAUCGUAGUUCGGAUUGAGGGCUGCAACUCGCCCUCAUGAAGCUGGAAUCCGUAGUAAUCGCGUUUCAACAGAACGCGGUGAAUACGUCCCUGCUCCUU